ACGCUCGACACCUACGGGGGCAGCAGUGGGGAAUAUUGCACAAUGGGGGAAACCCUGAUGCAGCGACGCCGCGUGGAGGAAGAAGGUCUUCGGAUUGUAAACUCCUGUUGUUGGGGAAAAGGAGGAUGGUACCCAACAAGGAAGUGACGGCUAACUACGUGCCAGCAGCCGCGGUAAUCUGAGGCGGGCUGGCAAGGC
This 198-nucleotide ribosomal RNA is filed under the name uncultured bacterium. Its description in RNAcentral is "partial 16S ribosomal RNA". It matches the Rfam family "Bacterial small subunit ribosomal RNA", at positions 328 to 539 of the family's 1533-position model. The record is from RNAcentral.